Molecule: ribosomal RNA, 675 nt
Filed under: uncultured Bacilli bacterium
Lineage: Bacteria; Bacillati; Bacillota; Bacilli
Description: bacterial SSU rRNA
Rfam family: Bacterial small subunit ribosomal RNA
Source: RNAcentral
AACGCUGAAGGAGGAGCUUGCUUCUCUGGAUGAGUUGCGAACGGGUGAGUAACGCGUAGGUAACCUGCCUGGUAGCGGGGGAUAACUAUUGGAAACGAUAGCUAAUACCGCAUAAGAGUAGAUGUUGCAUGACAUUUACUUAAAAGGUGCAAUUGCAUCACUACCAGAUGGACCUGCGUUGUAUUAGCUAGUUGGUGGGGUAACGGCUCACCAAGGCGACGAUACAUAGCCGACCUGAGAGGGUGAUCGGCCACACUGGGACUGAGACACGGCCCAGACUCCUACGGGAGGCAGCAGUAGGGAAUCUUCGGCAAUGGACGGAAGUCUGACCGAGCAACGCCGCGUGAGUGAAGAAGGUUUUCGGAUCGUAAAGCUCUGUUGUAAGAGAAGAACGAGUGUGAGAGUGGAAAGUUCACACUGUGACGGUAUCUUACCAGAAAGGGACGGCUAACUACGUGCCAGCAGCCGCGGUAAUACGUAGGUCCCGAGCGUUGUCCGGAUUUAUUGGGCGUAAAGCGAGCGCAGGCGGUUAGAUAAGUCUGAAGUUAAAGGCUGUGGCUUAACCAUAGUACGCUUUGGAAACUGUUUAACUUGAGUGCAAGAGGGGAGAGUGGAAUUCCAUGUGUAGCGGUGAAAUGCGUAGAUAUAUGGAGGAACACCGGUGGCGAAAGCGGC